RNAcentral lists this ribosomal RNA (439 nucleotides) under uncultured bacterium. Its description in RNAcentral is "partial 16S ribosomal RNA". It matches the Rfam family "Bacterial small subunit ribosomal RNA", at positions 339 to 795 of the family's 1533-position model. The record is from RNAcentral.
CUACGGGGUGCUCCAGUGGGGAAUAUUGGACAAUGGGCGCAAGCCUGAUCCAGCAAUGCCGCGUGAGUGAAGACGGCCUUAGGGUUGUAAAACUCUUUCGCUAGGGAAGAUAAUGACUGUACCUAGUAAAGAAGUCCCGGCUAACUCCGUGCCAGCAGCCGCGGUAAUACGGAGGGGACUAGCGUUGUUCGGAAUUACUGGGCGUAAAGAGUUCGAAGGCGGACUGACAAGUUAGAGGUGAAAUCCCAGGGCUCAACCCUGGAACUGCCUUUAAAACUGUCAGUCUAGAGACCGGAAGAGGUUAGGGGAAUACCUAGUGUAGAGGUGAAAUUCGUAGAUAUUAGGCGGAACACCAGUGGCGAAGGCGCCUAACUGGUCCGGUACUGACGCUGAGGAACGAAAGCGUGGGGAGCAAACAGGAUUAGAUACCCCAGUAGUC